RNAcentral lists this unclassified non-coding RNA (509 nucleotides) under Hevea brasiliensis (rubber tree). The record is from RNAcentral. Lineage: Eukaryota; Viridiplantae; Streptophyta; Magnoliopsida; Malpighiales; Euphorbiaceae.
AUUAAUUAUUGCUCUACUAGCUGUUGGUUUUAAAUGGAGACAGAUAACAGCGAAGUCAAGUCCAAAAUGGAAGAUUAUGAAGUCAUAGAACAGAUUGGGAGAGGAGCUUUUGGUUCUGCUUUUCUUGUUCUUCAUAAAGCUGAGAAUAAGAAGUAUGUUUUGAAGAAGAUUCGCCUGGCAAAGCAGACGGAGAAGUUCAAGGAAACAGCUCACCAGGAGAUGGACUUGAUUGCAAAACUUAAUAACCCAUAUAUCGUGGAGUAUAAAGAUUCUUGGGUGGACAAGGGAAGUUGUAUAUGCAUAGUUACGGCCUAUUGUGAAGGUGGAGACAUGGCUGAGAUUAUAAAGAAGGCCAGAGGCAUUUUUUUACCUGAAGAGAAGCUCUGCAAAUGGUUGACUCAGUUAUUGCUAGCUGUGGACUACCUACACUCUAACCGUGUCCUUCACAGAGAUCUUAAGUGCUCCAACAUAUUCCUUACAAAGGACAAUGAUGUUCGCCUCGGUGACUU